UACAGAGGGGGCAAGCGUUGUUCGGAAUUACUGGGCGUAAAGGGCGCGUAGGCGGCCUGUUAAGUCGAACGUGAAAUCCCCGGGCUCAACCCGGGAACUGCGUCCGAUACUGGCAGGCUUGAAUCCGGGAGAGGGAUGCGGAAUUCCGGGUGUAGCGGUGGAAUGCGUAGAGAUCCGGAAGAACACCGGUGGCGAAGGCGGCCUGCUGGGACGUGGCUGACGCUGAGGCGCGACAGCGUGGGGAGCAAACAGG
Molecule: ribosomal RNA, 253 nt
Filed under: uncultured bacterium
Lineage: Bacteria
Description: partial 16S ribosomal RNA
Rfam family: Bacterial small subunit ribosomal RNA
Source: RNAcentral